This 593-nucleotide unclassified non-coding RNA is filed under the name Penicillium solitum. RNAcentral's name for it is "sequence contains 18S rRNA gene, ITS1, 5.8S rRNA gene, ITS2, 28S rRNA gene". The stretch from base 222 to 374 matches the Rfam family "5.8S ribosomal RNA". Lineage: Eukaryota; Fungi; Ascomycota; Eurotiomycetes; Eurotiales; Aspergillaceae. The record is from RNAcentral.
AGUCGUAACAAGGUUUCCGUAGGUGAACCUGCGGAAGGAUCAUUACCGAGUGAGGGCCCUCUGGGUCCAACCUCCCACCCGUGUUUAUUUUACCUUGUUGCUUCGGCGGGCCCGCCUUAACUGGCCGCCGGGGGGCUCACGCCCCCGGGCCCGCGCCCGCCGAAGACACCCUCGAACUCUGUCUGAAGAUUGAAGUCUGAGUGAAAAUAUAAAUUAUUUAAAACUUUCAACAACGGAUCUCUUGGUUCCGGCAUCGAUGAAGAACGCAGCGAAAUGCGAUACGUAAUGUGAAUUGCAAAUUCAGUGAAUCAUCGAGUCUUUGAACGCACAUUGCGCCCCCUGGUAUUCCGGGGGGCAUGCCUGUCCGAGCGUCAUUGCUGCCCUCAAGCCCGGCUUGUGUGUUGGGCCCCGUCCUCCGAUUUCCGGGGGACGGGCCCGAAAGGCAGCGGCGGCACCGCGUCCGGUCCUCGAGCGUAUGGGGCUUUGUCACCCGCUCUGUAGGCCCGGCCGGCGCUUGCCGAUCAACCCAAAUUUUUAUCCAGGUUGACCUCGGAUCAGGUAGGGAUACCCGCUGAACUUAAGCAUAUCAAUAA